Molecule: ribosomal RNA, 868 nt
Filed under: Arthrobacter cavernae
Lineage: Bacteria; Bacillati; Actinomycetota; Actinomycetes; Micrococcales; Micrococcaceae
Description: Bacterial small subunit ribosomal RNA
Rfam family: Bacterial small subunit ribosomal RNA
Source: Rfam by way of RNAcentral
GGUGUAGCGGUGAAAUGCGCAGAUAUCAGGAGGAACACCGAUGGCGAAGGCAGGUCUCUGGGCAUUAACUGACGCUGAGGAGCGAAAGCAUGGGGAGCGAACAGGAUUAGAUACCCUGGUAGUCCAUGCCGUAAACGUUGGGCACUAGGUGUGGGGGACAUUCCACGUUUUCCGCGCCGUAGCUAACGCAUUAAGUGCCCCGCCUGGGGAGUACGGCCGCAAGGCUAAAACUCAAAGGAAUUGACGGGGGCCCGCACAAGCGGCGGAGCAUGCGGAUUAAUUCGAUGCAACGCGAAGAACCUUACCAAGGCUUGACAUGGACUGGAAAGGCGCAGAGAUGCGUCCCCCGCUUGCGGCCGGUUCACAGGUGGUGCAUGGUUGUCGUCAGCUCGUGUCGUGAGAUGUUGGGUUAAGUCCCGCAACGAGCGCAACCCUCGUUCCAUGUUGCCAGCGCGUAAUGGCGGGGACUCAUGGGAGACUGCCGGGGUCAACUCGGAGGAAGGUGGGGACGACGUCAAAUCAUCAUGCCCCUUAUGUCUUGGGCUUCACGCAUGCUACAAUGGCCGGUACAAAGGGUUGCGAUACUGUGAGGUGGAGCUAAUCCCAAAAAGCCGGUCUCAGUUCGGAUUGGGGUCUGCAACUCGACCCCAUGAAGUCGGAGUCGCUAGUAAUCGCAGAUCAGCAACGCUGCGGUGAAUACGUUCUCGGGCCUUGUACACACCGCCCGUCAAGUCACGAAAGUUGGUAACACCCGAAGCCGGGGGCCUAACCCCUUUGUGGGAGGGAGCCGUCGAAGGUGGGACUGGCGAUUGGGACUAAGUCGUAACAAGGUAGCCGUACCGGAAGGUGCGGCUGGAUCACCUCCUUU